GUCGAACGCUGGCGGCGUGCCUAAUACAUGCAAGUCGAACGCUGAAGGAGGAGCUUGCUUCUCUGGAUGAGUUGCGAACGGGUGAGUAACGCGUAGGUAACCUGCCUGGUAGCGGGGGAUAACUAUUGGAAACGAUAGCUAAUACCGCAUAAUAGUAGAUGUUGCAUGACAUUUACUUAAAAGGUGCAAUUGCAUCACUACCAGAUGGACCUGCGUUGUAUUAGCUAGUUGGUGGGGUAACGGCUCACCAAGGCGACGAUACAUAGCCGACCUGAGAGGGUGAUCGGCCACACUGGGACUGAGACACGGCCCAGACUCCUACGGGAGGCAGCAGUAGGGAAUCUUCGGCAAUGGACGAAAGUCUGACCGAGCAACGCCGCGUGAGUGAAGAAGGUUUUCGGAUCGUAAAGCUCUGUUGUAAGAGAAGAACGAGUGUGAGAGUGGAAAGUUCACACUGUGACGGUAUCUUACCAGAAAGGGACGGCUAACUACGUG
RNAcentral lists this ribosomal RNA (495 nucleotides) under uncultured bacterium. RNAcentral's name for it is "partial 16S ribosomal RNA". It matches the Rfam family "Bacterial small subunit ribosomal RNA", at positions 28 to 507 of the family's 1533-position model. The record is from RNAcentral.